GGAAGUAAAAGCGUAACAAGGUUUCCGUAGGUGAACCUGCGGAAGGAUCAUUAUUGUAUAACCGAGGUGCGAGGGCUGUCGCUGACCCGAAAGGUCGUGCACGCCCGAGUGCCCUCACACACAUCCAUCUCACCCCUAUGUGCACCACCGCGUGGGUCCCCCUUUGGCUUGUUCGGAGGGGGGCUUACGUUUUCACACAAACUUUGUAUGCAGUGUAGAAUGUAUUUUUUGUUUUUGCGAUCACGCAAUCAAUAUAACUUUCAACAACGGAUCUCUUGGCUCUC
This 284-nucleotide unclassified non-coding RNA is filed under the name plant metagenome. RNAcentral describes it as "partial contains small subunit ribosomal RNA, internal transcribed spacer 1, and 5.8S ribosomal RNA". The stretch from base 1 to 53 matches the Rfam family "Eukaryotic small subunit ribosomal RNA", at positions 1778 to 1831 of the family's 1831-position model. The record is from RNAcentral.